AGGAAUCGUACCCGAAACCGACACAGGUGGUCAGGUCGAGUAGACCAAAGCGCUUGAGAGAACUCUGCUGAAGGAACUAGGCAAAAUGGUACCGUAACUUCGGGAGAAGGUACGCUGCCGACGGUGAUAGGAUUUACUCCUUGAGCUAUUGGCAGCCACAGAAACCAGGCCCCUGCAACUGUUUAUUAAAAACAUAGCACUCUGCAAACACGAAAGUGGACGUAUAGGGUGUGAUGCCUGCCCGGUGCUGGAAGGUUAAUUGAUGGGGUUAGCGUAAGCGAAGCUCUUGAUCGAAGCCCCAGUAAACGGCGGCCGUAACUAUAACGGUCCUAAGGUAGCGAAAUUCCUUGUCGGGUAAGUUCCGACCUGCACGAAUGGCAUAAUGAUGGGGGCGCUGUCUCCAGCAGAGACUCAGUGAAAUCGAAUUCGCCGUGAAGAUGCGGUGUACCCGCGGCUAGACNCUCCAUUAUCUGGAGCGAGGACCAUGUCUGGUGGGUAGUUUGACUGGGGCGGUCUCCUCCUAAAGAGUAACGGAGGAGUACGAAGGUGCGCUCAGCGUGGUCGGAAAUCACGCGUAGAGUAUAAAGGCAAAAGCGCGCUUAACUGCGAGACCCACAAGUCGAGCAGGUACGAAAGUAGGUCUUAGUGAUCCGGUGGUUCUGUAUGGAAGGGCCAUCGCUCAACGGAUAAAAGGUACUCUGGGGAUAACAGGCUGAUACCGCCCAAGAGUUCAUAUCGACGGCGGUGUUUGGCACCUCGAUGUCGGCUCAUCUCAUCCUGGGGCUGAAGCAGGUCCCAAGGGUAUGGCUGUUCGCCAUUUAAAGAGGUACGCGAGCUGGGUUUAGAACGUCGUGAGACAGUUCGGUCCCUAUCUACCGUGGGCGUUGGAAAUUUGAGAGGAUCUGCUCCUAGUACGAGAGGACCAGAGUGGACGAACCUCUGGUGUACCGGUUGUGACGCCAGUCGCAUCGCCGGGUAGCUAUGUUCGGAAGGGAUAACCGCUGAAAGCAUCUAAGCGGGAAGCCUACCUCAAGAUAAGAUUUCCCUAGGACUUUAUGUCCUCUAAAGAGCCGUUGAAGACUACGACGUUGAUAGGUUGGAUGUGGAAGCAUAGUGAUAUGUGAAGCUGACCAAUACUAAUUGCUCGUGAGGCUUGACUAUACAACACCCAAACAGUUGG
RNAcentral lists this ribosomal RNA (1180 nucleotides) under Kaistia algarum. Its description in RNAcentral is "bacterial LSU rRNA". It matches the Rfam family "Bacterial large subunit ribosomal RNA", at positions 1637 to 2925 of the family's 2925-position model. Lineage: Bacteria; Pseudomonadati; Pseudomonadota; Alphaproteobacteria; Hyphomicrobiales; Kaistiaceae. The record is from RNAcentral.